CAGGAUAGAAUACGGGGAGGAGGGUUGUAGAAAUACCAGGUGUAGAGUGAAAUCGUAGAGAUCUGUAGAUACGUGCGAAGGCGGCAACCUGGACCGAUAUUGACGCUGAGAUGCGAAAGCGUGGGGAGCGAACAGGAUUAGAUACCCUGGUAGUCCACGCGUAAACGAUGAAUACUAGGUACAGCGGGUAUCGACCCCUGCUGUGCCGUAGCUAACGCGUUAAGUAUUCCGCCUGGGGAGUACGGCCGCAAGGCUAAAACUCAAAGAAAUUGACGGGGGCCCGCACAAGCGGUGGAGCAUGUGGUUUAAUUCGAUGCAACGCGCAGAACCUCACCUGGGCUUGAAAUCCUCGGACCGCCAUAGAGAUAUGGUUUUCCUUCUUUGAAGGACUGAGUGACAGGUGCUGCAUGGCUGUCGUCAGCUCGUGUCGUGAGAUGUUGGGUUAAGUCCCGCAACGAGCGCAACCCUCGUUCUAUGUUGCCAGCGGGUCAUGCCGGGGACUCAUAGGAGACUGCCGGGGACAACUCGGAGGAAGGUGAGGACGACGUCAAGUCAUCAUGCCCCUUAUAUCCAGGGCUGCACGCAUGCUACAAUGGCCGGUACAACGGGCAGCGAUCCUGCGAAGGUGAGCGAAUCCCUCAAAGCCGGUCUCAGUUCGGAUUGAAGUCUGCAACUCGACUUCAUGAAGCCGGAGUCGCUAGUAAUCGUGGAUCAGCAAAGCCGCGGUGAAUACGUUCUCGGGGCUUGUACACACCGCCCGUCACAUCACGAAAGUUGGCAAUGCCCGUAGUCAGUGGUCUAACCCUUAUGGGAGGAAGCUGCCGAAGGUAGGGUCAGCGAUUGGGAUGAAGUCGUAACAAGGUAACCGUAA
Molecule: ribosomal RNA, 871 nt
Filed under: uncultured bacterium
Lineage: Bacteria
Description: bacterial SSU rRNA
Rfam family: Bacterial small subunit ribosomal RNA
Source: RNAcentral